GGGGUGCCCAUUUGGGGUGUAAGGUGGAUAAUGCACAUUUGGGGUGUAAGGUGUGUAAUGGUGAACUUUGGGAUGUAAAGUGUGUAAUGGCUGCACAUUUGGGGGUGUAAGGUGGAUAACGGUGCACAUUUGGGGUGUAGGGUUUGUAACGGUGCAUAUUGGGGUGCAAGGUGUGUAAUGGGGUGCACAUUUGGGAUGUAAGGUGUGUAACGGUGCACAUUGGAGUGUAAGGUGUGUAAUGGGGUGCACAUUUGGGGUGUGAGGUACCAGAUGUGUAAUGGGGUGCAUAUUUGUGUGUAAGGUAUGUAUUAGGGGUGUGCAUUUGGGGUGUAAGGUGUGUAAUGGGUGCACAUUUGGGGUGUAAGGUGUGUAAUGGGGUGCACAUUUGAGGUACCAGCUGUGUAAUGGGGUGCAUAUUUGGGUAUAAGGUAUGUAUUAGGGGUGCACAUAUGGGGUGUAAGGUGUGUAAUGGGGUGCACAUUUGGGGUGUAAAGCGUGUAUAUGGGGUGCCCAUUUGGGGUGUAAGGUGUGUACUGGGAUGCACAUUUGGGGUGUAAGGUGUGUAAUGGGGUGCACAUUUGAGGUACCAGGUGUAUAAUGGGGUGCACAUUUGGGGUGUAAGGUAUGUAUUAGGGGUGCACAUUUGGGUUGUAAGGUGUGUAAUGGGGUGCACAUUUGGGGUGCAGGGCACGUAUUAGCCAUCAAUACCUGUGAGGGGAAGGAGUGAGAGCAGGAAGUCCAA
Molecule: long non-coding RNA, 742 nt
Filed under: Homo sapiens (human)
Lineage: Eukaryota; Metazoa; Chordata; Mammalia; Primates; Hominidae
Description: non-protein coding lnc-KLF6-10:1
Source: RNAcentral